UGAUGAGGGGAAUGUUGAGACGUUGGGGCACCUGGAGGCAGGUUGGAGGCACGUAGAGAACUAGAGGCAUCAUAGAGAGGCAAUCACUGAAGCAGCAGGAGAGUAGCACUCAGAAGUAGCAGAAGACAAGAGCACUUGGAAGCAGAAAGAAGAAACAUUGGCAGAAUGGGCUCCUUUGAUCACAGGCUGGCAUCAGACCCUUGUGGAGGAUUCUAGGACAUUUUAAAUUAUGAAACCUGAAAUUCCCAGCAAAUGCCAGACACUGAUGCUGCUGCCGUAAAUGCCAGCUUCCGCCUUGUGAUCACCCCAGGAGCGAGCUUUGAAUCCGAACUGUGCUGCGAAUCUGGUUGGAAUUCAAACUGGAAUUCAAACCCUGGCAUUUCCCAAGGGUUUCACGGGGGAAAAAAAGAGUCAACAGUCAGAUGGUCAGACAGUGGUCAGACAGCUCCCCACCUCCCCCACAUCAUGAGGAAUCAGGAAAAAAGACAAUCAGGCCCUGCCUGUGGGAACUAAUCAGGAAGUUUCAACAGAUUGACAGAUGUGUCAACCAAUCAGAUCGUGUCUGGGGAAACCAACAGGAUCUGCCCUCCACAGGGAUAUAUCCUCCGGAUUUCCCCAAGCGGCUCAAAACUGCAGAAAUCACAGUCUCUGGUAAUAGUAUACACAAUAAAAUAUAAAUUAAAUCUAUGGAAUUCA
Ornithorhynchus anatinus (platypus) is the source of this 696-nucleotide long non-coding RNA. RefSeq lists it as uncharacterized. NCBI's taxonomy places the organism in Eukaryota, Metazoa, Chordata, Mammalia, Monotremata, Ornithorhynchidae. The record is from RefSeq and is a predicted model, not a curated record. The transcript has 4 exons.